Molecule: non-coding RNA, 73 nt
Organism: Parelaphostrongylus tenuis
Lineage: Eukaryota; Metazoa; Nematoda; Chromadorea; Rhabditida; Metastrongylidae
Source: the annotation of a GenBank genome assembly
GCGUCGGUAGUGCAAUGGUUCAGCACAAGUGCUCGGAUAGAGUGAAAUGUGGAUUCGAAUCCCACCCGACUCA